CCAGACUCCUACGGGAGGCAGCAGUGAGGAAUAUUGGUCAAUGGGCGCGAGCCUGAACCAGCCAAGUCGCGUGAGGGAUGACGGCCCUACGGGUUGUAAACCUCUUUUGCCGGGGAGCAACGGGCGCCACGUGUGGCGCCACUGAGAGUACCCGGAGAAAAAGCAUCGGCUAACUCCGUGCCAGCAGCCGCGGUAUUACGGAGGAUGCGAGCGUUAUCCGGGUUUUUUGGGUUUAAAGGGUGCGCAGGGGGGAGGAUCAAGUCAGGGGUAAAAUGGGGGGGCCCAACCUCUGCGAGCCGUUGAAACUGGUUGUCUUGAGUGGGCGAGAAGUAUGCGGAAUGCGUGGUGUAGCGGUGAAAUGCAUAGAUAUCGCGCAGAACUCCGAUUGCGAAGGCAGCAUACCGGCGCUCAACUGACGCUGAUGCACGAAAGUGUGGGUAUCGAACAGGAUUAGAUACCCCAGUA
Molecule: ribosomal RNA, 465 nt
Filed under: uncultured bacterium
Lineage: Bacteria
Description: bacterial SSU rRNA
Rfam family: Bacterial small subunit ribosomal RNA
Source: RNAcentral